This 446-nucleotide ribosomal RNA is filed under the name uncultured bacterium. RNAcentral describes it as "partial 16S ribosomal RNA". It matches the Rfam family "Bacterial small subunit ribosomal RNA", at positions 338 to 795 of the family's 1533-position model. The record is from RNAcentral.
CCUACGGGAGGCUGCAGUCGAGAAUCAUUCACAAUGGGGGAAACCCUGAUGGUGCGACGCCGCGUGGGGGAAUGAAGGUCUUCGGAUUGUAAACCCCUGUCAUGUGGGAGCAAAUUAAAAAGAUAGUACCACAAGAGGAAGAGACGGCUAACUCUGUGCCAGCAACCGCGGUCAUACAGAGGUCUCAAGCGUUGUUCGGAAUCACUGGGCGUAAAGCGUGCGUAGGCUGUUUCGUAAGUCGUGUGUGAAAGGCGCGGGCUCAACCCGCGGACGGCACAUGAUACUGCGAGACUAGAGUAAUGGAGGGGGAAGCGGAAUUCUAGGUGUAGCAGUGAAAUGCGUAGAUAUCGGGAGGAACACUCGUGGCGAAGGCGGGUUCCUGGAAAUUAACUGACGCUGAGGCACGAAGGCCAGGGGAGCGAAAGGGAUUAGAUACCCGGGUAGUC